This 428-nucleotide ribosomal RNA is filed under the name uncultured archaeon. RNAcentral describes it as "bacterial SSU rRNA". It matches the Rfam family "Archaeal small subunit ribosomal RNA", at positions 474 to 903 of the family's 1478-position model. The record is from RNAcentral.
UACCAGCUCCCCUAGUGGUCGGGACGUUUAUUGGGCCUAAAGUAUCCGUAGCCGGUUUUGUAGGUCCCCUGUUAAAUCCAACGGCUUAACCGUUGGUCUGCAGGGUAUACCAUAUGACUAGGAGGCGGGAGAGGUGGACGGUACUCCAAGGGUAGGGGUAAAAUCCUUUGAUCCUUGGAAGACCACCAGUGGCGAAGGCGGUCCACCAUAACGCGCUCGACGGUGAGGGAUGAAAGCUGGGGGAGCGAACCGGAUUAGAUACCCGGGUAGUCCCAGCUGUAAACGAUGCGAGCUAGGUGAUGGGGUGGCUGCGAGCCAUCCCAGUGCCCCAGGGAAGCCGUUAAGCUCGCCGCCUGGGAAGUACGGCCGCAAGGCUGAAACUUAAAGGAAUUGGCGGGGAGCACCACAAGGGGUGAAGCCUGCGGUUC